RNAcentral lists this ribosomal RNA (467 nucleotides) under uncultured bacterium. RNAcentral describes it as "partial 16S ribosomal RNA". It matches the Rfam family "Bacterial small subunit ribosomal RNA", at positions 28 to 507 of the family's 1533-position model. The record is from RNAcentral.
GACGAACGCUGGCGGCGUGCUUAACACAUGCAAGUCGAACGGAAAGGCCUCUUUCGGGGGGUACUCGAGUGGCGAACGGGUGAGUAACACGUGAGUAACCUGCCCUUGACUUUGGGAUAACUUCAGGAAACUGGGGCUAAUACCGGCUAGGAGCUCCUGCUGCAUGGUGGGGGUUGGAAAGUUUCGGCGGCUGGGGAUGGACUCGCGGCUUAUCAGCUUGUUGGUGGGGUAGUGGCUUACCAAGGCUUUGACGGGUAGCCGGCCUGAGAGGGUGACCGGCCACAUUGGGACUGAGAUACGGCCCAGACUCCUACGGGAGGCAGCAGUGGGGAAUAUUGCACAAUGGGUGGAAGCCUGAUGCAGCAACGCCGUGUGCGGGAUGACGGCCUUCGGGUUGUAAACCGCUUUCGCUCAUGACGAAGCUUUGUGUGACGGUAGUGGGUAAAGAAGCACCGGCUAACUACGUG